Molecule: non-coding RNA, 108 nt
Organism: Acanthosepion pharaonis
Lineage: Eukaryota; Metazoa; Mollusca; Cephalopoda; Sepiida; Sepiidae
Source: the annotation of a GenBank genome assembly
AGCCAUAUCACAUUUAAACACCGCUUCCAGUACGAUCACUGAAGUUAAACAACGUCGAGCCAGGUUAGCAUAUGGAUGGGUGACCGCUUGAGAAUAACAGGUGCUGUA